This 430-nucleotide ribosomal RNA is filed under the name Caulobacter sp. AEOC026. RNAcentral's name for it is "bacterial SSU rRNA". It matches the Rfam family "Bacterial small subunit ribosomal RNA", at positions 423 to 871 of the family's 1533-position model. The record is from RNAcentral. Lineage: Bacteria; Pseudomonadati; Pseudomonadota; Alphaproteobacteria; Caulobacterales; Caulobacteraceae.
UUGUAAAAUUCUUUCACCGGGGACGAUAAUGACGGUACCCGGAGAAGAAGCCCCGGCUAACUUCGUGCCAGCAGCCGCGGUAAUACGAAGGGGGCUAGCGUUGCUCGGAAUUACUGGGCGUAAAGGGAGCGUAGGCGGACAUUUAAGUCAGGGGUGAAAUCCCAGAGCUCAACUCUGGAACUGCCUUUGAUACUGGAUGUCUUGAGUGUGAGAGAGGUAUGUGGAACUCCGAGUGUAGAGGUGAAAUUCGUAGAUAUUCGGAAGAACACCAGUGGCGAAGGCGACAUACUGGCUCAUUACUGACGCUGAGGCUCGAAAGCGUGGGGAGCAAACAGGAUUAGAUACCCUGGUAGUCCACGCCGUAAACGAUGAUUGCUAGUUGUCGGGAUGUUUACAUCUCGGUGACGCAGCUAACGCAUUAAGCAAUCCG